AGAGUUUGAUCCUGGCUCAGGAUGAACGCUAGCGGCAGGCUUAACACAUGCAAGUCGAGGGGCAGCGGGGAGGAAGCUUGCUUUCUCCGCCGGCGACCGGCGCACGGGUGAGUAACACGUAUGCAACCUGCCCCUGUCAGGGGGACAACCCGCCGAAAGGCGGGCUAAACCCGCGUACAUGCCACCGGGGCAUCCCGGAGGCAGGAAAGGCUUCGGCCGGACAGGGAUGGGCAUGCGGCGCAUUAGGCAGUAGGCGGGGUAACGGCCCACCUAACCGACGAUGCGUAGGGGUUCUGAGAGGAAGGUCCCCCACACUGGUACUGAGACACGGACCAGACUCCUACGGGAGGCAGCAGUGAGGAAUAUUGGUCAAUGGUCGGGAGACUGAACCAGCCAAGCCGCGUGAGGGAAGAAGGUACAGAGUAUCGUAAACCUCUUUUGUCAGGGAACAAAGGCGGGGACGUGUCCCCGGAUGAGUGUACCUGAAGAAAAAGCAUCGGCUAACUCCGUGCCAGCAGCCGCGGUAAUACGGAGGAUGCGAGCGUUAUCCGGAUUUAUUGGGUUUAAAGGGUGCGCAGGCGGUCUGUUAAGUCAGCGGUCAAAGCCCGGGGCUCAACCCCGGCCCGCCGUUGAAACUGGCAGUCUCGAGUUGGAGAGAAGUAUGCGGAAUGCGCGGUGUAGCGGUGAAAUGCAUAGAUAUCGCGCAGAACUCCGAUUGCGAAGGCAGCAUGCCGGCUCCACACUGACGCUGAGGCACGAAAGCGUGGGUAUCGAACAGGAUUAGAUACCCUGGUAGUCCACGCAGUAAACGAUGAAUGCUGGCUGUCCGGGGGGACUGACCCCUGGGUGGCGAAGCGAAAGCGAUAAGCAUUCCACCUGGGGAGUACGCCGGCAACGGUGAAACUCAAAGGAAUUGACGGGGGCCCGCACAAGCGGAGGAACAUGUGGUUUAAUUCGAUGAUACGCGAGGAACCUUACCCGGGCUCAAACGGGGAGUGGCGCAGGCAGAGACGCCUGUUUCCCACGGGACACUCCCCGAGGUGCUGCAUGGUUGUCGUCAGCUCGUGCCGUGAGGUGUCGGCUUAAGUGCCAUAACGAGCGCAACCCCCGCGUGCAGUUGCUAACAGUCAACGCUGAGGACUCUGCACGGACUGCCGGCGCAAGCCGCGAGGAAGGCGGGGAUGACGUCAAAUCAGCACGGCCCUUACGUCCGGGGCGACACACGUGUUACAAUGGGUGGUACAGCGGGAAGCCAGGCGGCGACGCCGAGCGGAACCCGAAAUCCACUCUCAGUUCGGAUCGGAGUCUGCAACCCGACUCCGUGAAGCUGGAUUCGCUAGUAAUCGCGCAUCAGCCAUGGCGCGGUGAAUACGUUCCCGGGCCUUGCACACACCGCCCGUCAAG
This 1404-nucleotide ribosomal RNA is filed under the name uncultured bacterium. Its description in RNAcentral is "bacterial SSU rRNA". It matches the Rfam family "Bacterial small subunit ribosomal RNA". The record is from RNAcentral.